Molecule: small nuclear RNA, 163 nt
Organism: Musa acuminata AAA Group (dessert banana)
Lineage: Eukaryota; Viridiplantae; Streptophyta; Magnoliopsida; Zingiberales; Musaceae
Product: U1 spliceosomal RNA
Exons: 1
Source: RefSeq, a predicted model, not a curated record
AUACUUACCUGGACAGGGUCGACGGGCGAUCAAGAAGGCUCGUGGCCUAAGCCAGCUGCCUCUAUUGCACGUGGGAGGAUCGCUGGCUUACCAUCUCCCCCAAGUGGGAGAGUGGAUGUCAUAAUUUGUGGUAGAGGGGGAUUCGCGUUCGCGCGGCCCCUAC